GUAUGAUGAUGAAGCUCAUGCGUGUCAACUGACUCUAAACUCCUGGUGUUGUAGCGCCAGUAAGCGUUCUGUUUGCUGGAGCCCUCAGGACAUCAAGGACCCAGAGACAUGAUCAUGCAACACUACUUCUGAAUAC
RNAcentral lists this small nucleolar RNA (136 nucleotides) under Echeneis naucrates (live sharksucker). Its description in RNAcentral is "Small nucleolar RNA SNORD10 (ENSENLG00000020104.1)". It matches the Rfam family "Small nucleolar RNA SNORD10". Lineage: Eukaryota; Metazoa; Chordata; Actinopteri; Carangiformes; Echeneidae. The record is from Rfam by way of RNAcentral.